This 520-nucleotide ribosomal RNA is filed under the name Salmonella enterica. RNAcentral's name for it is "partial 23S ribosomal RNA". It matches the Rfam family "Bacterial large subunit ribosomal RNA", at positions 1 to 561 of the family's 2925-position model. The record is from RNAcentral. Lineage: Bacteria; Pseudomonadati; Pseudomonadota; Gammaproteobacteria; Enterobacterales; Enterobacteriaceae. RNAcentral also lists the same sequence under 7 other names.
GUUAAGCGACUAAGCGUACACGGUGGAUGCCCUGGCAGUCAGAGGCGAUGAAGGGCGUGCUAAUCUGCGAUAAGCGCCGGUAAGGUGAUAUGAACCGUUAUAACCGGCGAUACCCGAAUGGGGAAACCCAGUGUGAUUCGUCACACUAUCAUUAACUGAAUCCAUAGGUUAAUGAGGCGAACCGGGGGAACUGAAACAUCUAAGUACCCCGAGGAAAAGAAAUCAACCGAGAUUCCCCCAGUAGCGGCGAGCGAACGGGGAGGAGCCCAGAGCCUGAAUCAGCAUGUGUGUUAGUGGAAGCGUCUGGAAAGGCGCGCGAUACAGGGUGACAGCCCCGUACACAAAAGCGCAUGUGCUGUGAGCUCGAUGAGUAGGGCGGGACACGUGGUAUCCUGUCUGAAUAUGGGGGGACCAUCCUCCAAGGCUAAAUACUCCUGACUGACCGAUAGUGAACCAGUACCGUGAGGGAAAGGCGAAAAGAACCCCGGCGAGGGGAGUGAAAAAGAACCUGAAACCGUGU